GAUGAACGCUGGCGGCGUGCCUAAUACAUGCAAGUCGAGCGAACAGACGAGGAGCUUGCUCCUCUGACGUUAGCGGCGGACGGGUGAGUAACACGUGGAUAACCUACCUAUAAGACUGGGAUAACUUCGGGAAACCGGAGCUAAUACCGGAGAAUAUAUUGAACCGCAUGGUUCAAUAGUGAAAGACGGUUUUGCUGUCACUUAUAGAUGGAUCCGCGCCGCAUUAGCUAGUUGGUAAGGUAACGGCUUACCAAGGCAACGAUGCGUAGCCGACCGGAGAGGGUGAUAGGCCACCCUGGAGCGGGGACAGGGACCAGACUCCUGCGGGAGGCAGCAGUAGGGAAUCUGCCGCAGUGGGCGAAAGCAUGACGGAGCAACGCCGCGUGAGUGAUGGAGGUCUUCGGAUCGGAAAACUCUGUUAUGAGGGAAGAACAAAUGUGUAAGUAGCUAUGCACGUCUUGACGGUAACUAAUCAGAAAGCCACGGCUAACUACGUG
RNAcentral lists this ribosomal RNA (497 nucleotides) under uncultured bacterium. RNAcentral describes it as "partial 16S ribosomal RNA". It matches the Rfam family "Bacterial small subunit ribosomal RNA", at positions 28 to 507 of the family's 1533-position model. The record is from RNAcentral.